This is a long non-coding RNA of Papaver somniferum (opium poppy), 1894 nucleotides long. RefSeq lists it as uncharacterized. NCBI's taxonomy places the organism in Eukaryota, Viridiplantae, Streptophyta, Magnoliopsida, Ranunculales, Papaveraceae. The transcript has 9 exons. The record is from RefSeq and is a predicted model, not a curated record.
CUAAGUGUGAAAGAGAACUUACAAAGUAAGGAUGUCGACGUACUUUGAACACGUGCUAUGAAUGUUUAUUAUUUAAUUGUUCAAAGUUAUUCCUUAAUAGCUAAGGGAAGACACUAGUGGAGAAUGGGGUUUCUACCCACAUUCACGAUCCCUGUUAACGGUAGUUUGACCUUUGACCGAUGAAGACCGUCGCGGUUAUGAUAAAAACACGGAGAACAGAUUGAGCCGUUAAAACAAGUCGUAUUAUAUUUACGAUUUUAUCCCUCAUUUUUACAACCCAUACCGCUACGGAUGAACGCAGCUUUUCCUAUGGUUCAGGUUUCUAGGCGGCCCCGUUCCCAUUUCUAUUUCUAUUGUGGCUUUCAUCUCUCUCCACUUUUAUCUUAUCUUAUCUCUCUCGCUUCGCCUCUCGGUUUCUCUCAGAACCAAAGAAAAAAGUGAACAACCCAUCCCCCUGUUUCAUUUUCAUACCAAUACGAAUCAUUGAUCAACAGAUCUGCAUAAUUGGUUCCUCCUUCUAACAAAGAUGAUGAUUCUAAACUGGAUAAAUCAAACAACCCUUCUAUAUGUCUAUUUAUCUGCUCUUCUUUCUCUGUAAAUUUCUGCUGUUGCUGCAAUCGGAAACCCUAACUCUUUGUAAAUAUCUAUAAAAUUCUUCACAGCCGAUCAACAUCCCCUUUUGUUCACCAACAACUUCCCCAACCCAAUCGUUGUUUUUCAUCAUCGCAAUCAGAAACCCUAACUCUCUCUUUCGAUAAUCAAAAGAUUUUUUAAGAUGUUAAACAAUUGAAGAUGUGGUGAAAUGAAAACCUUUUACUUCUCAAAUCUAGGGUUUUUUAAUUUUGUUUCUUUUCAAUAGAUUUUUGAUAGGAAUUUUUGUCUGUGUGUAGGUCAGAGUAUGAUAGAGGUGUGAAUACUUUCUCACCUGAAGGGAGAUUGUUUGAGGUUGGGCAUGGGACUGAAGAUAAUAAGCUUCGGUCAACUGCAACUGGGUUAAAGACUAAAUAAGGAGUGGUGCUUAUUGUUGAGAGCGUAUCACUUCGCCAUUGCUGGAGCCUAGUAGAGUGGAGAAACUUAUGGGAACCGAUGAGCAUAUAGGUUGUGCUAUGGGGGGACUUAUUGUUUAUACUCGUACACUUCUUGAACAUGCACGAGUCAAAAGUCAGAUAAGCCAACCCGAAGAUUGGUAGCGUGACCACCAACUGUCUUGCUCCCCUUGCAAAGUCUGGUAGCCUGGCCACCAACUGUCGUGCUUCCCUUGCAAAGGUCACAGUGACAGAUUAGGCACUUUUGAGGGUCUCAUGGCCACUGUAUAUGCAAUGUCUGCAACACAAAUGACUUUUGAUGGUUCAUCGCCCAAGGACUGGAGAGGUGGAAGAGAUGCUUCAUUCAGUAUCAUUCCUAGCCGCACUGUUACUGGUGGCUUUACCUAGGCUGCCACACAUGAAGAAUACUUCACAAUUAGAAUAUGUCUUUCCAUACAUCUUUUCCAUAAAUGUGAUUCACUGAUGUUUCAGAUUAUAAGUUGAUGAAUGAUAAGAUAAAAGUUGCUUGAAUAAUUCUGUUGAGUAUUAUAUGACCUACCCACAUUAAUCAGCUGAUUGGGGGAUUUAUUUUUGCAUUGCAGGAACGCCAUUAUGAAAUAUAGGUUAAGUUCAUCAUCAACGGAGUUCAUCGUUUUGUUGUUUAUCAUUUUGUAACUGAAUCUUAGAACGUAACUACUUUUCUGGUCUGAACUUAAGGAUUUACACUUUUCUGGUCUGAACUUAAGGAUUUACACUUUUCUGUGUAAUUUGAAUUGGAAGACUAUAUGUGUGCAACUUUUCUGUGUAAUUUGAACCUAAUCAGUGUUGAAUUGGAAGACUAUUUGUGUGGAAGUUAAAUUUCAUUCUCA